GACGAACGCUGGCGGCGUGCUUAACACAUGCAAGUCGAACGGAAAGGCCCUGCUUGCAGGGUCCUCGAGUGGCGAACGGGUGAGUAACACGUGGGUGAUCUGCCCUGCACUUCGGGAUAAGCCUGGGAAACUGGGUCUAAUACCGGAUAUGACCUUCCAUGUAGUGUGGGGGGUGGAAAGUUUUAUCGGUGUGGGAUUAGCCCGCGGCCUAUCAGCUUGUUGGUGGGGUAAUGGCCUACCAAGGCGUCGACGGGUAGCCGGCCUGAGAGGGUGGACGGCCACAUUGGGACUGAGAUACGGCCCAGACUCCUACGGGAGGCAGCAGUGGGGAAUAUUGCACAAUGGGCGGAAGCCUGAUGCAGCGACGCCGCGUGGGGGAUGACGGCCUUCGGGUUGUAAACCUCUUUCGACAGGGACGAAGCUUCGGUGACGGUACCUGUAUAAGAAGCACCGGCUAACUACGUG
RNAcentral lists this ribosomal RNA (465 nucleotides) under uncultured bacterium. RNAcentral describes it as "partial 16S ribosomal RNA". It matches the Rfam family "Bacterial small subunit ribosomal RNA", at positions 28 to 507 of the family's 1533-position model. The record is from RNAcentral.